RNAcentral lists this ribosomal RNA (492 nucleotides) under uncultured bacterium. Its description in RNAcentral is "partial 16S ribosomal RNA". It matches the Rfam family "Bacterial small subunit ribosomal RNA", at positions 29 to 507 of the family's 1533-position model. The record is from RNAcentral.
AGUGAACGCUGGCGGUAGGCCUAACACAUGCAAGUCGAACGGCAGCACAGUAAGAGCUUGCUCUUACGGGUGGCGAGUGGCGGACGGGUGAGGAAUACAUCGGCAUCUACUUUUUCGUGGGGGAUAACGUAGGGAAACUUACGCUAAUACCGCAUACGACCUCCGGGUGAAAGCAGGGGAUCUUCGGACCUUGCGCGAUUGCAUGAGCCCAUGUCGGCUUAGCUAGUUGGAGGGGGAAAGGCCCACCAAGGCGACGAUCCGUAGCUGGUCUGAGAGGGUGAUCGGCCACACUGGAUCUGAGCCACGGUCCAGACUCCUCCGCGAGGCCGCAGUGGGGAAUAUUGGACCGUGGGCGCGAACCUGAUCCAGCCAUACCGCGUGGGUUGAGACGGCCUUCCGGUUGUGAAGCCCGUUUGUUGGGAGAGAAAAUCAGCAUGUUGGUACGCAGCUGUUGUGACGGUACCCACAGAAUAAGCACCGGCUAACUACGUG